CAGUAGUUCAAUACAGACAGAGCGCCUGUCUUGUCACUGUUAUAUUUUCAUUUAUUCAAUGUAUUUCUUUUAUGUCAACUAGCGUUUUAAAGAAAGAAGGGAUUUGAUCUUCUACAGGGCUGUCAGGCCACUCAGGAGGGGGGAGGGUCAUUGAGUCAGGUAGCUCAACGGGAAAGUCCUCGCUGCUCUUUAUGAAGGAGGAAGUCUCUGGUUGGAACACCUCCUCCUUCUGCUCCCUGAGAGAAACUGCUUCCUGCUGACGUAUGGCCUCAAUCUCCAGCUGCUCCUCCAGGAUUGCUGAGCAGGAGACCGUGCCGAAGGAGUUGAGGGCCACACAUUUAAACAAGCCAGAGUCUUCUGGAAAGGCCUCUGUGAUCACCAGUGUACACAGCUCCUCUACAGAAGGUUACACAAGAACAUAAAUGCAGUCUCAUUUCAACACAGAAUCAACGCUGCACCAAGAGCGAGGCAACAAAUCCAAAUUCAGGAGUCAAAUACAAUUCAGUUUAAUUCAGUGUGGCGUUCUCGGCAUGGGAGACGUUUACAUUGCCAAGGUGUGAAGUAAAAACUAAGACAUAAAUAGAGGAGUUCUCUUUUGAUAUCAGUAAGAUGAACACCCUCAGUGAACAAAGGCAUGUUACAUGUACCAAUGAUUAUUUUGUCCCACGCAAAAAUUGACAAAAUGUUACAAAAUGUUCUAUGAUUACAUGAUCAGUUCAAGCUGUUCCCUCUUCCCUCCACAUGAAGCUGCUAUUGUGCCAAGUUGCAGUGUUAUCAACAAUAUCAUAUUCUAUUAAAAAAAUGUCUUGUCUUUAAAAAUGUUUUUCUUAUAAAGUGUUUUAUAAGAACAGUCUAGUUAUGAAAGAUGUGUUUGCAGCAGUAUACCCACUGUAGAAUAUACG
This is a long non-coding RNA of Micropterus dolomieu (smallmouth bass), 902 nucleotides long. RefSeq lists it as uncharacterized. The record is from RefSeq and is a predicted model, not a curated record. The transcript is spliced from 3 exons. NCBI's taxonomy places the organism in Eukaryota, Metazoa, Chordata, Actinopteri, Centrarchiformes, Centrarchidae.